Molecule: long non-coding RNA, 1746 nt
Filed under: Homo sapiens (human)
Lineage: Eukaryota; Metazoa; Chordata; Mammalia; Primates; Hominidae
Description: non-protein coding MIR29B2CHG:65
Source: RNAcentral
GGGACUACAGGCACACGCCAUUGCACCUGGGUAGUUUUUUUUUUUUUUUUUAAAUAGAGACGGGAUCUCUCUAUAUUGCCCAGGCUGGUCUUGAACUCCUGGCCUCAAGCAAUCCUCCCACCCCGACCUCCCAGAGCACUGGGAUUACAGGUGAGAGCCACUGCACCUGGCCCUUUUUUAAAAAAUUAAUAUUGUUAUUGACGUAUAACAUGCAUGCACAAAAGUGAAUGAAUCAUAAGUGUUCGGCACAAAGCGUACAUAUCCUGUCACCAGUGCCCAGAUCAGGAAAAGAAACAGAACACUACCAAACCAAACCCCGCAGAAAAUACUUUGCAUUUUUUUCUAGUUACAAACCACCCUUCCAAGGGUAACCACUAUUUUGAAUGCUACAAUCACAGAUUGGUUUCACCUGCUCUUCAACUUCAUAUAAAUGAAAUCACACAGUAUGUUCUCUUUUGGAGUCUGGUUUCUUUCACUCAUCAUUUUGCUUGUGGCAUUCAUCCAUGUUCUGUGCCAUUGUAGUUUUCCAUUCUCAUGACUGUGUAGUAUUCCAUAUUAAUAGACCACAGUUUAUUAUUUGUAUACCAUUGAUGGAUAUUUGGGCUGUGUGCAGAUUUUGGCUAUUACAAACAGUGCUACUGUAAAUAUGAAUGUCUUGGUGAAUGGAUAUAUACACAUAUACAUACCUGAAUGUAUGUAUACAUACAUAUACAUACCUGAAUGUAUGUAUACAUACAUAUACAUACCUGAAUGUAUGUAUACAUACAUAUACAUACCUGAAUGUAUGUAUACAUACAUAUACAUACCUGAAUGUAUGUAUACAUACAUAUACAUACUUGUGUAUAUACAUAUAUAUUUCUGCUGGGUAUAAACUUAGAAGUGGAGUUGCUGGAUCAUAGUUUUAAUAGUAGUGCCAAAGCAGUCGUACCAGUUAUACUCACACUAGCAAAGUAGGCAAGUUCUGGUUGCUCCAAAUUUUUGCUAAUAUUUGAUAUUAUCUUCCUUUUUCAUUGUACUUAUUCUGGUGGGUAUGUAGUAAUAUUGUACUGUAGUCUGAAUGUGCGUUUUGAGGAUAGUGGCCAUUUGUGUAUCCUCUUUGCAAAAUGCCUCUUCAGAUCAUUUGCUUAUUUUUCUAUUGGGUUGCCUGUCUUAAUGGUUUGUAGGAAGCACUUUAUAUAUUGUUGGAUAUACGUAUUAUGAAGAUUUUCACUCCUCGGUAGCUUUGGGUAUCCAUUUCCUUAGUGAUAUUCCUAAGUUUAACCCAUGUGAAAAUAUUAGAAUUGUAUAUAGUGCUUUGCACAGGAAUAUAUUAUUCUUUGUUAGCUAUGUUGAAGUUGGGGCUACAUGCUAUCACUACUCAUCUACAAAGGUACUCUUGGGAUACUGGUUAUGCAGGCUGGAGCAGGGACUCUUGAAGUUUCUGGCAUAUUAAGUGCUGGCAUCUUUGGGGUUAUAUAAAAAUAAAAACUGCUAAUAUCCAAGUGUUUACUGUGUGCCAUAUAGUGUUCUAAGCACUUCACAUGGCCUAGCUCAUUUAUUCCUCAUAUAAGCUUAUCAGUUAAGUGCUAUUAUUAUUCCCAUUUUCGAGUGAGGAAACUGAGACUCAGAGAAAUCUUAUAAUUGCCCAGGGUCACACAACUGAGAUUCCAGUUGCAGAGGCCAUACUCUUAACCAUUGUACCACAUAGAAAGUUGCAUUUCCCUAAACUGCUGUUUUAUUAUAGUGCUGGAUUAGUGGCUGGCACAU